UGGGGAAUUUUGGACAAUGGGCGAAAGCCUGAUCCAGCAAUGCCGCGUGUGCGAAGAAGGCCUUCGGGUUGUAAAGCACUUUUGUCCGGAAAGAAAUCCUUGGCUCUAAUACAGUCGGGGGAUGACGGUACCGGAAGAAUAAGCACCGGCUAACUACGUGCCAGCAGCCGCGGUAAUACGUAGGGUGCAAGCGUUAAUCGGAAUUACUGGGCGUAAAGCGUGCGCAGGCGGUUUGCUAAGACCGAUGUGAAAUCCCCGGGCUCAACCUGGGAACUGCAUUGGUGACUGGCAGGCUAGAGUAUGGCAGAGGGGGGUAGAAUUCCACGUGUAGCAGUGAAAUGCGUAGAGAUGUGGAGGAAUACCGAUGGCGAAAGGCAGCCCCCCUGGGCCAAUACUGACGCUCAUGCACGAAAGCGUGGGGAGCAAACAGGAUUAGAUACCCCUGGUAGUCCACGCCCUAAAACGAUGUCAACUAGUUGUUGGGGAUUCAUUUCCUAGUAACGUAGCUAACGCGUGAAGUUGACCGCCUGGGGAGUACGUCGCAAGAUUAAAACUCAAAUGAAUUGACGGGGUCAUAGCUG
RNAcentral lists this ribosomal RNA (581 nucleotides) under uncultured bacterium. RNAcentral's name for it is "partial 16S ribosomal RNA". It matches the Rfam family "Bacterial small subunit ribosomal RNA", at positions 355 to 932 of the family's 1533-position model. The record is from RNAcentral.